RNAcentral lists this transfer RNA (87 nucleotides) under Bacteroidota bacterium. RNAcentral describes it as "Bacteroidetes bacterium tRNA-Leu". It matches the Rfam family "tRNA". Rfam says of the family: Transfer RNA (tRNA) molecules are approximately 80 nucleotides in length. Their secondary structure includes four short double-helical elements and three loops (D, anti-codon, and T loops). Lineage: Bacteria; Pseudomonadati; Bacteroidota. The record is from RNAcentral.
GCCGGGAUGGUGAAAUUGGUAGACACGCAAGACUUAAAAUCUUGUGAGCAUUAGCUCGUGCGGGUUCAAGUCCCGCUCCUGGCACAA